This 1302-nucleotide long non-coding RNA is filed under the name Felis catus (domestic cat). Its description in RNAcentral is "lncRNA (ENSFCAG00000049841.1)". Lineage: Eukaryota; Metazoa; Chordata; Mammalia; Carnivora; Felidae. The record is from RNAcentral.
CCCACAGGUCCCCGGAGUGCGGGAACCACCCAGGCUGGGGAGCAUGCAGAGGAAGGCAGGUCCUUCUGAGCCCAGGUAGCCAUCUGACAUUCCUUGUCAGAGCUUGGAGAACCUCAAGAAUGAAGAAGGCCCAGAUCUUUUGCUUCUCUGGCUUAGGAAGAUCAGAGGAGACAUAAAAUUGCUGCUGCUCUGGGAAAACCUGGGAGAGGUAACCAUGGAGACUUUGACCUCAAGGCCUAGGGAGAGAGGUUGAGAGUUCAUGAAGGGGGUGCGGUGGGGGAGAAUCGAGCCGGGUGUGGAGAGAGAAGAAACCAGUUCGUGACGCAGCAGACGUUGCUGAGGUCCAGGUAGAGAGUCUGCAAACACAGGCAGGAGCCACAUCUUCUCAUGGCCUUCCUUCUCCUCCCGCAGCUCUCCGUUCUCAAGUCUCAGCCCUUUCCCAGGAUGGGGAGGACAGGACAGUUUCAGCAGAUCAAAGAUUUGAAAGGUCAGCUCUCACUGUUAGCCAGAUGGAGAGAUGGUGCGUUCACACCAUUGAAAGGGGCAUUUUUAGUCUUCUUGGAAGUUCUGCACACGUCUGCUCCAAUAUUUCCUACUCUUAAGAAUUCAUUCCAAAUCAGAGCGAGUAUUCAAAGACUGAUCAUUACAACGUUGUUCGUAACAGCAAAAAAAGAGAAAAAACCGUGGGGUGGACUCCAUGUCCGUCCAUUGGAUUGAUGUUGGAUUGAUGGACUGUUACAUUUUGUUUCUUCUCACGUCCAGGUCCUGUGCCACUGUCAAAUGUGGUCACAAGCUGAUGAAAAUAUCAGGACAUGGAAAGACGCGCUCGCUCUCUCUCUCACAUACACACACACCGUAGAUCUGUGCAUAUGUGUUAACUCAUUUUUCCUUUAGGUUGCAAGAAAAAGAAAUCAAAGCAGUUUGCAAAAUUUUAAGUACGUGCUCUUUUCGGCGCGUGCAAAAUUAUUUUACAAAGCUUCCUUUUUUUACGAAAAGACGUUAUGGAAAAAUUCGGAAGGUUUGAGUUACUUCCUUACUGUACGCUUUAAUUGUAAAUGUUAUUGGGGAACUUCCCGCCACGAGGGCUGAAGAAAUUAACACGGUUCUACUUCCCACCAGCUCCUGGUAUGAUCCUGUCGUUACCGUCAUCACCUUCUGAGGGUUGUCACCACCGAUUCCCACAGUGAGCUUGUGUCAGUUCUCUCCGUAGCGGUCAUUGUCCGCCACCUGUCUCUGGUUUCUGUAGUCCUGGCGUCACUGACUUGCCUGUUGGCUGGCUCAGCGUCAUUCCACGAUUUGCUU